GACGCGCAAUAUGGCGGCGCCCAUGGCGAGCGCGGGGAUGGGUGAGACACGGGGGGAACCGGGACCCCCCAGAACCUCCUGGGACCCCCCGAGCGGGACUGAUGGGCCCAGAACCCCCGGGAGGGACAGGAGAGGAUCCUCCGGGACGUCCUCUGACCCCUGGGAGGGACGGUGGGAGGGGUGAGUCCCGGGACCCCCUGAGACCCCCCCAGGACCUCCUGGGACCCCCGAGGUCCCCCCCGGGCCCCCAGAGAACCGCCCUCUCCUCUCCCCCCAGGCCGGGGGUCCUGACCCGGAGGAGGCAGCGGUGGGGCUGGGAAUGACUUGGGAAUGACUUGGGAUCGACUGGGAUGAGCCGCGGUGGCCCCAGCCCGGAGCAGGAUGGCAGAUUCCGCGGAGGACGUGCUCGGGGAUCUCCUGGGAUUCGAUGAGGAUCCUCCCGUUCCCCCUUCCCGCGGAUCCCAACUCACCUGCGCCCAGGUGAGCUCCAGGGGGGCCCUGGAGGAGGAUCCCGGCGGGAAAUUCCCUGGAGGUGAUGUAGGAGAGACACAGGUGAGUGAGGGCAGAAUUCC
Molecule: long non-coding RNA, 572 nt
Organism: Neopelma chrysocephalum (saffron-crested tyrant-manakin)
Lineage: Eukaryota; Metazoa; Chordata; Aves; Passeriformes; Pipridae
Exons: 5
Source: RefSeq, a predicted model, not a curated record